GUGGAUUAGAUACCCUGGUAGUCCACGCCGUAAACGAUGAUAACUAGCUGUCCGGGUACUUGGUAUUUGGGUGGCGCAGCUAACGCAUUAAGUUAUCCGCCUGGGGAGUACGGUCGCAAGAUUAAAACUCAAAGGAAUUGACGGGGGCCUGCACAAGCGGUGGAGCAUGUGGUUUAAUUCGAAGCAACGCGCAGAACCUUACCAGCGUUUGACAUCCUCAUCGCGAUUUCCAGAGAUGGAUUUCUUCAGUUCGGCUGGAUGAGUGACAGGUGCUGCAUGGCUGUCGCCAGCU
RNAcentral lists this ribosomal RNA (292 nucleotides) under uncultured bacterium. RNAcentral's name for it is "partial 16S ribosomal RNA". It matches the Rfam family "Bacterial small subunit ribosomal RNA", at positions 773 to 1060 of the family's 1533-position model. The record is from RNAcentral.